RNAcentral lists this ribosomal RNA (510 nucleotides) under uncultured bacterium. Its description in RNAcentral is "partial 16S ribosomal RNA". It matches the Rfam family "Bacterial small subunit ribosomal RNA", at positions 28 to 507 of the family's 1533-position model. The record is from RNAcentral.
GACGAACGCUGGCGGCGUGCUUAACACAUGCAAGUCGAACGAAGAGCGAUGGACGCUUGCUUCUAUCAAUCUUAGUGGCGAACGGGUGAGUAACGCGUAAUCAACCUGCCCUUCAGAGGGGGACAACAGUUGGAAACGACUGCUAAUACCGCAUACGAUCUAAUCUCGGCAUCGAGGAUAGAUGAAAGGUGGCCUCUACAUGUAAGCUAUCACUGAAGGAGGGGAUUGCGUCUGAUUAGCUAGUUGGAGGGGUAACGGCCCACCAAGGCGAUGAUCAGUAGCCGGUCUGAGAGGAUGAACGGCCACAUUGGGACUGAGACACGGCCCAGACUCCUACGGGAGGCAGCAGUGGGGAAUCUUCCGCAAUGGACGAAAGUCUGACGGAGCAACGCCGCGUGAGCGAUGACGGCCUUCGGGUUGUAAAGCUCUGUUAAUCGGGACGAAAGGCCUUCUUGCGAAUAGGGAGAAGGAUUGACGGUACCGGAAUAGAAAGCCACGGCUAACUACGUG